This 527-nucleotide unclassified non-coding RNA is filed under the name Trichophyton mentagrophytes. Its description in RNAcentral is "contains 16S-23S intergenic spacer region". The stretch from base 217 to 368 matches the Rfam family "5.8S ribosomal RNA". The record is from RNAcentral. Lineage: Eukaryota; Fungi; Ascomycota; Eurotiomycetes; Onygenales; Arthrodermataceae.
AACGUCCGUCAGGGUGAGCAGAUGUGCGCCGGCCGUCCGCCCCAUUCUUGUCUACCUUACUCGGUUGCCUCGGCGGGCCGCGCUCUCUCAGGAGAGCCGUUCGGCGAGCCUCUCUUUAGUGGCUCAACGCUGGACCGCGCCCGCCGGAGGACAGACGCAAAAAAAUUCUUUCAGAAGAGCUGUCAGUCUGAGCGUUAGCAAGCAAAAAUCAGUUAAAACUUUCAACAACGGACUCUUGGUUCCGGCACGAUGAAGAACGCAGCGAAAUGCGAUAAGUAAUGUGAAUUGCAGAAUUCCGUGAAUCAUCGAAUCUUUGAACGCACAUUGCGCCCCCUGGCAUUCCGGGGGGCAUGCCUGUUCGAGCGUCAUUUCAGCCCCUCAAGCCCGGCUUGUGUGAUGGACGACCGUCCGGCGCCCCCGUCUUUGGGGGUGCGGGACGCGCCCGAAAAGCAGUGGCCAGGCCGCGAUCCGGCUUCCUAGCGAAUGGGCAACAAACCAGCGCCUCCAGACGGCCGCCCGGCCUCAAA